RNAcentral lists this ribosomal RNA (301 nucleotides) under uncultured bacterium. RNAcentral's name for it is "partial 16S ribosomal RNA". It matches the Rfam family "Bacterial small subunit ribosomal RNA", at positions 509 to 807 of the family's 1533-position model. The record is from RNAcentral.
CAGCCGCCGCGGUAAAACGGAGGGGGCUAGCGUUGUUCGGAAUUACUGGGCGUAAAGCGCACGUAGGCUGCUUUGUAAGUCAGAGGUGAAAGCCCGGGGCUCAACUCCGGAGUUGCCUUUAAGACUGCCGAGCUAGUAGGUGAGAGAGGUAAGUGGAAUUCCGAGUGUAGAGGUGAAAUUCGUAGAUAUUCGGAAGAACACCAGUGGCGAAGGCGGCUUACUGGCUCAUUCUAGACGCUGAGGUGCGAAAGCGUGGGGAGCAAACAGGAUUAGAUACCCCCGUAGUCCCUGUCUCUUAUAC